GCGCAGGUGGCAGAGUGGUCAAUUGCAUCGCGCUGUAGACGCGACGCCCUUUGGGCUCCGGGGGUUCGAAUCCCUCCCUGCGCA
This 84-nucleotide transfer RNA is filed under the name Candidatus Sungbacteria bacterium RIFCSPHIGHO2_02_FULL_41_12b. RNAcentral describes it as "tRNA-Tyr". It matches the Rfam family "tRNA". From Rfam's summary of the family: Transfer RNA (tRNA) molecules are approximately 80 nucleotides in length. RNAcentral also lists the same sequence under 1 other name. Lineage: Bacteria; Candidatus Sungiibacteriota. The record is from RNAcentral.